RNAcentral lists this ribosomal RNA (497 nucleotides) under uncultured bacterium. Its description in RNAcentral is "partial 16S ribosomal RNA". It matches the Rfam family "Bacterial small subunit ribosomal RNA", at positions 28 to 507 of the family's 1533-position model. The record is from RNAcentral.
GAUGAACGCUGGCGGCGUGCCUAAUACAUGCAAGUCGAGCGAACAGACGAGGAGCUUGCUCCUCUGACGUUAGCGGCGGACGGGUGAGUAACACGUGGAUAACCUACCUAUAAGACUGGGAUAACUUCGGGAAACCGGAGCUAAUACCGGAUAAUAUAUUGAACCGCAUGGUUCAAUAGUGAAAGACGGUUUUGCUGUCACUUAUAGAUGGAUCCGCGCCGCAUUAGCUAGUUGGUAAGGUAACGGCUUACCAAGGCAACGAUGCGUAGCCGACCUGAGAGGGUGAUCGGCCGCACUGGAACUGAGACACGGUCCAGACUCCUACGGGAGGCAGCAGUAGGGAAUCUUCCGCAAUGGGCGGAAGCCUGACGGAGCAACGCCGCGUGAGUGAUGAAGGUCUUCGGAUCGUAAAACUCUGUUAUUAGGGAAGAACAAAUGUGUAAGUAACUAUGCACGUCUUGACGGUACCUAAUCAGAAAGCCACGGCUAACUACGUG